AUAGUGGGCGCAUCCAGCGCAAUAGUACUCCAAUUUACCGCGCAGAGUUUGAUUCAUUGCGCACUAUAAUUGUGUUAUGUUUACGUUGCAAGAUUUACAAGAAAGUAAGUGGUAGACACUGAUAAAACUUGCAGAAUUUUAUAACAAGUCAUAAAAGAGGAAGUCAAGAGUUCACUGGAAAAAAAGAACGCGAUCGAUCAGUGAAAAAAUCUUUGUUCGCACGGUGGCGCUGUGAGUACGAGAACAGAGUCCAACAGUGGAUCGUGCUGAUUACGUACGGACACUUUUUCUUCGGGAAUUACCGCGGGAAGGGGAAUAUCUCUUGCUGGAGUAAACUGUUCGCAAUUGUGGCAAGAUGUUACAAGAGUGGCGCUUGAUGUGGCAAGAAAUCGUAUCAGGGUAAAUCGAGUUAUCCCGAAGUGUGCCAUCGAAUCUACAUAACUGGAGCAGAAUUGUAAGUUUAAACGGAUACAAAUAAAGAAUUAAGCAGCGAUGCCUUUAUUUAUUCUGGGUAAUCGAGCACGGACGAUUUCCUAAUUCCGCGUUUACGGGGGAAACAGUUGCCUAAUCCUAAAAUCAUCCUCUCCAGUCGUAACGAGCAGGUAAUUCGUGUUCUCCUCGCUAAAACAGAUUACACGGCGACGGUUUUCAAUGAUAAUUUAAGCAUCGUGGAGCGUGGUAAUUGCUUUUUAUCUCCAAACGAUAAAACAGCCGUUACACAAAAAAUGGCAAAACUAAUUGCGGCGUGGUUUCGCGAAAACGUUCAAAUUGAAAACACUUUUUGUUCAUUUUCAUUUAUUGAUUUCCCUCAGACGCGACAGUUCAUUACGAUAAAAAAACUAAUUCUAUAAAUUGAAUAUUUUCGAAGGCGGUUCAGGCGUUUGGACAAUGUACAUUUUUGGUGACGUUUAAUGGUCUUAAUUAUCUUUUAAUGGUAUGCUAGGUAAUUUAUGUAUCGGGUUAAACGUCCAUGCAAACUUGUCAUUCCCUUGUAAUUUACCUUAACUGCAAAGUCUCUUUCAGAACACCUCUCUUUCUACUCACAUUACGUUCAGACCUUCGCCAUUUCUGACAUGUCUUCAACCAAAUUUCAGUACUUUUAAAAACUUCUAUGAUUUUCACUUGUUUGCUCAGUACAAUUUAUCUCCUUAUAUAACCUCUUCGGUGACUUUCUUCAAACUUAGAAAUAAUUUAAUUUUUCUUACGAAGUCAGCUUUUAAAUUCUCAAGAUUAACGUUCUUAAAUCCAUCUGAAUGUUAUGCAAGGGAAAUAUAUGUCCACGUACGUGUUCACUAUUCAAAAAAAGACUAAACAUGUACGACAUAAAAGUACAUCAGUAAAAGUGAUAUUUUACAAAAUACAUAAGAGCUAAAGCGCAGAGUGUUUCCGAUUAUGAUACCCAGGGCAAGUUUGCCACUUACAUUA
This is a long non-coding RNA of Megachile rotundata (alfalfa leafcutting bee), 1425 nucleotides long. NCBI's taxonomy places the organism in Eukaryota, Metazoa, Arthropoda, Insecta, Hymenoptera, Megachilidae. The record is from RefSeq and is a predicted model, not a curated record.